Non-coding RNA from Salmo salar (Atlantic salmon), 566 nucleotides. The record is from RefSeq and is a predicted model, not a curated record. Lineage: Eukaryota; Metazoa; Chordata; Actinopteri; Salmoniformes; Salmonidae.
GCAGUAUGCGCUCAAUGAGCCUGACACAGUAGACAAAAUGGGGAACAUCUCAGUUCUUAACGGACGUGCCACUGACAUUGGCUGCUGUCCAACAGCUGCACGCAGGGAAACGACUUUCUGUUACAUAAUGUGGUUAUUCAAAUGUGUGCUGACAGACAACAGAGGGUGAGGGAUAAGACAACAACACAAUAAAAACCCUGCUGAUACCAACUGUUAAGUCUACAUUUGUUCAGGAGAGAGAGAGGAGACGUAUCCACAGGCAGAUUUGGAGUUUACAGACAAGGAAUGGGUCCAGCACUCUAGGGAGACCUGGAAUGCUGUCCAGGAGUGUAUAAAGAGGGCUGGAGAACGACACAAGGAGAGCGCUGACCGCCACCGCAGUGAGGCCCCUGUGUUUAACCCAGGGGAUAGAGUCUGGCUCUCGACCCGGAACCUGCCCCUCCGCCUGCCCUGCCGGAAGCUGGGUCCGCGAUUUGUGGUGCCAUUCAAAGUCCUGAGGAGAAUAAACGAGGUGUGUUAUAGGUUACAACUUCCUACAUAUUACCGCAUUAACCCCUCGUUUCAUG